CCGAGCGAGGGCCCCCGGCCCGACCUCCAACCCUUUGUCGUUACAAAACCACUGUUGCCUCGGGGGCGACCCGGGCUUCGAGAGCCCGGGACCCCCGGUGGACCACACCAAAAUGCUGCGUCUGUACGUCGGAUUAUAAGACAAAUGAAUCA
Molecule: unclassified non-coding RNA, 152 nt
Filed under: uncultured fungus
Lineage: Eukaryota; Fungi
Description: sequence contains ITS1, 5.8S rRNA gene
Source: RNAcentral